RNAcentral lists this unclassified non-coding RNA (347 nucleotides) under soil metagenome. Its description in RNAcentral is "partial contains 5.8S ribosomal RNA, internal transcribed spacer 2, and large subunit ribosomal RNA". The stretch from base 1 to 120 matches the Rfam family "5.8S ribosomal RNA", at positions 35 to 154 of the family's 154-position model. The record is from RNAcentral.
GAUGAAGAACGUAGCGAAAUGCGAUAAGUAAUGUGAAUUGCAGAAUUCAGUGAAUCAUCGAGUCUUUGAACGCACAUUGCGCCCCCUGGUAUUCCGGGGGGCAUGCCUGUCCGAGCGUCAUUGCUGCCCUCAAGCACGGCUUGUGUGUUGGGCCGUCGUCCCCCUCCUAGGGGACGGGCCCGAAAGGCAGCGGCGGCACCGCGUCCGGUCCUCGAGCGUAUGGGGCUUCGUCACCCGCUCCGUAGGCCCGGCCGGCGCUUGCCGACGACCAUCAAUCUCUUUCUCCAGGUUGACCUCGGAUCAGGUAGGGAUACCCGCUGAACUUAAGCAUAUCAAUAAGAGGAGGA